UACGGGGGGGGCAAGCGUUGUUCGGAAUUACUGGGCGUAAAGGGCUCGUAGGCGGACCUGCAAGUCGGGGGUGAAAGCCCGAGGCUCAACCUCGGAACUGCCUUCGAUACUGCGGGUCUCGAGUCCGGGAGAGGUGAGUGGAAUUCCUAGUGUAGAGGUGAAAUUCGUAGAUAUUAGGAAGAACACCAGUGGCGAAGGCGGCUCACUGGCCCGGUACUGACGCUGAGGCGCGAAAGCGUGGGGAGCAAACAGG
This 253-nucleotide ribosomal RNA is filed under the name uncultured bacterium. RNAcentral describes it as "partial 16S ribosomal RNA". It matches the Rfam family "Bacterial small subunit ribosomal RNA", at positions 524 to 776 of the family's 1533-position model. The record is from RNAcentral.